Molecule: ribosomal RNA, 759 nt
Filed under: Chaetoceros socialis
Lineage: Eukaryota; Bacillariophyta; Thalassiosirophyceae; Chaetocerotales; Chaetocerotaceae
Description: LSU rRNA
Rfam family: Eukaryotic large subunit ribosomal RNA
Source: RNAcentral
CCCUCAGUAACGGCGAGUGAAGCGGGAAGAGCUCAUUCUGUGAAUCUGUAUGCUCUUUUGGUAUACCGAGUUGUAGAAUAUAGAAGCACAUCAGUGCGAAUUCCGGUCUAAGUCUCUUGGAAAAGAGCAGNUAAGAGGGUGAGACUCCCGUUCUUGGCUGGAAUUCAAACUUUAGCAUGUGGUUUCGACGAGUCGAGUUGCUUGGGAUUGCAGCUCAAAGUUGGUGGUAAAUUCCAUCUAAAGCUAAAUAUCGGUGGGAGACCGAUAGCGUACAAGUACCGUGAGGGAAAGAUGCAAAGAACUUUGAAAAAAGAGUUAAAGAGUACCUGAAAUUGCUGAAAUGGAAGCGAAGGAAACCAGUGCCGUUCUGUAUCAUUCUUCCGUCCUUGCUUGCGAGGGUGGCGCUGUGAUGCAGGAUAGGCCAGCGUGGGUUUGAGCCGAAGGAAGCAGCUCUUCAGGAGGCAGCGCAAUUUCUGUGCGAUUACUGUUGAGCUUUGCUUCGGCUUGGACUGAGGCUAGUCACUUGUGCUCGUGACGCUGGCGAAAUGGUUUUCUUUACCCCGUCUUGAAACACGGACCAAGGAGUCUAACAUAUGUGCGAGUAUAUGAGUGACAAACUCACAUGCGAAAUGAAAGUAACAGUGGUUGGACCUUCUGGGCACAAUCCGCCGGCCACAAUCCUUCGGGAGAAAGGUCUGAGUGUGAGCAUACAUGUUGGGACCCGAAAGAUGGUGAACUAUGCCUGAAUAGGGUGAAGCC